This is a long non-coding RNA of Rhinopithecus roxellana (golden snub-nosed monkey), 1322 nucleotides long. RefSeq lists it as uncharacterized. The transcript is spliced from 2 exons. The record is from RefSeq and is a predicted model, not a curated record. NCBI's taxonomy places the organism in Eukaryota, Metazoa, Chordata, Mammalia, Primates, Cercopithecidae.
GGAGCCUCCGUGCUCUCUGAUGACCACACUUCCCUCCAUCCAGUGCACGGCCGCCAUACUGCUUCUCUCACAGUAGGUCCUGGUGGUGACGGUCACAUUCAGGACCUGCCCGCACUCCUCCCCCUCCACAAGUGUGACAGGCAGUGUGGUCAGCGAGUUACCCAGGUCAGUGCCAUUGCGUGCCCAGCCGCUGAGGAGGCCCCCAGUGCGCGGGAUGAGGAGGUGCUCAGCGAAGUCCUUCUCAGGGGUGCACACAGGGAGCCCCGCAUUGGGGCACUGGAUGGGCCACUCCAGCUCCAGCAGUGACAGGUCAUUCUCCCCCGUGUCUGCGUCAUACCGCAUGUGCACAUGGGCACGCAUUAUCUUGAUCAUCAGUGGGUCUUGGCUCGUUCUGUUAAAAUCUGAAAUCAUGAACAAUCACCAGUUCUUUAAUCUGAUUUUCAAGGGUGACAUAAUGCUCAGAAACGAGCUUCUCAGUGAGCCACAUGAGGAGGGAGAGACCGACCCUGGAGGACCCGCAGGCUCACUGCCCCAUGGUGUGGACACUGUCCGUUUCUGUGGACAGAAAGGCCCACUCACAGAUUGCACGAUUGCAACCAAGUGCCAUGGCCUUUAAGAACAGUCAAGGAAAUGACGUAAAGUGAAAGUCAUAACAAUAAAUUGAAGCACGCAGAGAGCUCUCUGUUACCUGCCACGGGAGGUCCUGUAGAUCCAGUGCACGCUUCUCGGAGGUCAGCACCCCGCAGGCACACUGGUCUGCAUUUGCAGCAGCAACAUGAGAAUAAAAAUCAGCGCCUUCCCAGUGAAUAUCAGACUCUGUCUAUGGUGUUAACCAUUGCAUAAUUCCGGCUGUGGUACUAACCAUUAUAAUCGUAUCCUUAAUGCUGAUGAAUGUGCAAUAAUUCACACAGACACGCAGACUGGAGUUAAACCACCCCCCACAGCGCUCAUGGUUUAGCUCAGAGUGGUCUGAGCAAGCACAAGUGACAGAAACUGCACUUUCUAGCAUUGCCAUUGCUCCAGCAUGGAGAUGCGGACCACCUUCUGAGUCGUGGCAACUCCUUAUCACAAAUCUGUGGGCUUCACCCAGUACUACGAAGAAGGGAGGAGGAUGUGGACAGGGUCACUGGCACUGGAAGCUGGAGGCUGCUGUGGUCUGAGCACUCACCGUGGGGAACGCACUGUUUGCGGUCCUCACCAAGCCUGUAGCCUUGAGCACAGCUGCACGUGUAGGAUUCCUGUCCCGGGAGGCAGAAGUGUUGACACCCAUCAGUCCGCUCCAGGUGACAUUCAUUUUUAGCUGAAAAGGAAAAAAAAAAAAA